RNAcentral lists this long non-coding RNA (1146 nucleotides) under Homo sapiens (human). Its description in RNAcentral is "non-protein coding lnc-PDHA2-2:5". Lineage: Eukaryota; Metazoa; Chordata; Mammalia; Primates; Hominidae. The record is from RNAcentral.
AAUCUCAGUGUUCUCACGCCGGCGGAGAGAUGUCCCGGCUGUCGCUGCUGGGUGGCCAAGGAGGUUCACAUCCUAGAGUAGGGCGCACGGGUGCGCGAAGGCGCUCGCCAAGGAGGCGUAGAGGGCGCAGCACAACUCCUCUGGGGGGUAACCGGGGGCGGGAGCACGCCCGCCCGCCUUAUGUAAGCAAGGAUUGCAGGGAGAUCAGCGCCCAGGAGACCAGCUGUGGGUUUGCCCGCUGAAGCCGAGGCGAGACAGACCAGGGGACGAAGCGGCUGCGGAGAGUGGCAGCGCGCCUGCCUCCCGCGGUGCGCCAGACCUGGACGCCGGGAGUGCAGCGGGCGCGCCCCGGGCCACUAGGCUGUGUCCAGUGGAGCUCAGCCUGCCGCCUGCCACCUUCUUCGCCGCGCCGGCAAAGCCUCAGCCGAAUUCCCUAGGACUGGACUCGGUCUACGACUUCGGGUCUCGCGGUUGACGAAGCCGGUGCGGGCUCGAACUGAAGUCCUUCUUGGUUGGGGAAGAAGGCAUGAAGCUUUUGCACUGCCCCAGCCGGCUGCUGUCCUGGGGUUGUCAGCGCCAGUCAGACUGCUUUAUGUUCUGAGCGCGUAUGACCCCUUUGCAGUGGAACAGAAACUAAAAGCUCGACGGAAACUCAUUCUGCAACAGUGCUUUCUUUGCGUGCAUGUUGGUGGCUGACAAGGGUGGUGAUGCGAUACCGAGAGAAACUCUCUUAGAAAAAAAAAAUGCAAAGCAAAAUUUGUAGAUACUCAAAGUGAUGGUGGAGCCUAUAACAUGUUUUUCAAAUUUCUAAUAGUGUGUGUAAGAACUCGAGCUGCUAUGAAUUUGUUUACCUUUCUACAGGAAAUAAUUGUCUACGUAGCUGGGUUGUGAAUCCCUGUGGUCAUGAUGGAGGGAUGCAAGAUUGGGUGGGUAAAAUAAGACUAGACAAAAGGAAAGUGAAUUUAUUAAAAGGUCAACACACAGACACAGACAACAUUUUGGGAAAAAGAAAAUCACUUCCCAAGAUUAGCAUGUCUUUAAACUAAUAAUACAUCAGGGAAUUUUAUGCUCUUGGUGCCAAGGGGGCCAUGUGUAAACACGCAUGCACACACACACGCAGGAAACAUGAGGUCUAAUUUUGGCUGU